UACGUAGGGUGCGAGCGUUAAUCGGAAUUACUGGGCGCAAAGCGUGCGCAGGCGGCUUCGCAAGUCAGGCGUGAAAUCCCCGGGCUUAACCUGGGAAUGGCGUCUGAAACUACGGAGCUGGAGUGUGGCAGAGGGAGGUAGAAUUCCACGUGUAGCGGUGAAAUGCGUAGAUAUGUGGAGGAAUACCGAUGGCGAAGGCAGCCUCCUGGGCCAACACUGACGCUCAUGCACGAAAGCGUGGGGAGCAAACAGG
Molecule: ribosomal RNA, 253 nt
Filed under: uncultured bacterium
Lineage: Bacteria
Description: partial 16S ribosomal RNA
Rfam family: Bacterial small subunit ribosomal RNA
Source: RNAcentral